AUUGCCCUAGUAACGGCGAGUGAAGCGGCAACAGCUCAAAUUUGAAAUCUGGCUCUUUUAGAGUCCGAGUUGUAAUUUGCAGAGGGCGCUUUGGCUUUGGCAGCGGUCCAAGUUCCUUGGAACAGGACGUCACAGAGGGUGAGAAUCCCGUACGUGGUCGCUAGCUAUUGCCGUGUAAAGCCCCUUCGACGAGUCGAGUUGUUUGGGAAUGCAGCUCUAAAUGGGAGGUAAAUUUCUUCUAAAGCUAAAUAUUGGCCAGAGACCGAUAGCGCACAAGUAGAGUGAUCGAAAGAUGAAAAGCACUUUGGAAAGAGAGUCAAACAGCACGUGAAAUUGUUGAAAGGGAAGCGCUUGCAGCCAGACUUGCUUGCAGUUGCUCAUCCGGGCUUUUGCCCGGUGCACUCUUCUGCAGGCAGGCCAGCAUCAGUUUGGGCGGUGGGAUAAAGGUCUCUGACACGUUCCUUCCUUCGGGUUGGCCAUAUAGGGGAGACGUCAUACCACCAGCCUGGACUGAGGUCCGCGCAUCUGCUAGGAUGCUGGCGUAAUGGCUGUAAGCGGCCCGUCUUGAAACACGGACCAAGGAGUCUAACAUCUAUGCGAGUGUUUGGGUGUCAAGCCCGAGCGCGUAAUGAAAGUGAACGGAGGUGGGAACCCGCAAGGGUGCACCAUCGACCGAUCCUGAAGUUUACGGAAGGAUUUGAGUAAGAGCAUGGCUGUUGGGACCCGAAAGAUGGUGAACUAUGCUUGAAUAGGGUGAAGCCAGAGGAACUCUGGUGGAGGCUCGCAGCGGUUCUGACGUGCAAAUCGAUCGUCAAAUUUGGGCAUAGGGGCGAAAGACUAAUCGAACUAUCUAGUAGCUGGUUCCUGCGA
RNAcentral lists this ribosomal RNA (870 nucleotides) under Acrothecium robustum. RNAcentral describes it as "LSU rRNA". It matches the Rfam family "Eukaryotic large subunit ribosomal RNA", at positions 74 to 963 of the family's 3401-position model. The record is from RNAcentral. Lineage: Eukaryota; Fungi; Ascomycota.